RNAcentral lists this unclassified non-coding RNA (296 nucleotides) under Hevea brasiliensis (rubber tree). Lineage: Eukaryota; Viridiplantae; Streptophyta; Magnoliopsida; Malpighiales; Euphorbiaceae. The record is from RNAcentral.
AGCUCUUGUAAAAUUGGGAAGGUCGAAAACCCUAAAAAUUGUGAAGGUGUUAUGUUUUGUUCCACAGAAGAGGAAGAAGAAGGAAUGUCGAAGAAAAUGGUCACAAGGAGAGAGCUGUUGGACCGAUGGAGGGGCAUCGAAGAAGAAGACGAGGAUGACGACAUUGCAUCUGUAGACCCUCUCAAGCGACAUCGUUUCCGGCAGCUCAAAGAAGAAUGGUUUUCAGACGCAUUCAACCACUUGAUUUUUAUGCCCCAUGAAAAUCAUAUUUGGUGUGGUUCAUGGGAACUCAUGGG